UGGGGAAUAUUGGACAAUGGGGGAAACCCUGAUCCAGCGAUGCCGCGUGUGUGAAGAAGGCCUGAGGGUUGUAAAGCACUUUCAGUGGGGAGGAGUAUUGUUAGGUUAAGAGCUAGGCAAUAGGACGUUAUCCACAGAAGAAGCACCGGCUAACUCCGUGCCAGCAGCCGCGGUAAUACGGAGGGUGCGAGCGUUAAUCGGAAUUAUUGGGCGUAAAGGGUGUGUAGGUGGUUUGAUAAGCUAUCUGUGAAAGCCCUGGGCUUAACCUAGGGAUGCCAGAUAAGACUGUGAGACUAGAGUACGGGAGAGGGUAGUGGAAUUUCCGGUGUAGCGGUGAAAUGCGUAGAGAUCGGAAGGAACACCAGUGGCGAAGGCGGCUACCUGGCCUGGUACUGACACUGAGGCACGAAAGCGUGGGGAGCAAACAGGAUUAGAUACCCCUGUAGUCC
RNAcentral lists this ribosomal RNA (449 nucleotides) under uncultured bacterium. RNAcentral's name for it is "bacterial SSU rRNA". It matches the Rfam family "Bacterial small subunit ribosomal RNA", at positions 355 to 796 of the family's 1533-position model. The record is from RNAcentral.